GUGUCAGCCGCCGCGGUAAGACGAACCGUCCAAACGUUAUUCGGAAUUAUUGGGCUUAAAGGGUGCGUAGGCUGUGCAGUAAGUUGGGUGUGAAAUCCCUCGGCUCAACCGAGGAACUGCGCCGAAUACUGCUGUGCUAGAGGAAGAUAGGGGUAAGCGGAACUGAUGGUGGAGCGGUGAAAUGCGUUGAUAUCAUCAGGAACACCGGUGGCGAAGGCGGCUUACUGGAUCUUUUCUGACGCUGAUGCACGAAAGCUAGGGGAGCGAACGGGAUUAGAAACCCCAGUAGUCC
RNAcentral lists this ribosomal RNA (292 nucleotides) under uncultured bacterium. RNAcentral's name for it is "partial 16S ribosomal RNA". It matches the Rfam family "Bacterial small subunit ribosomal RNA", at positions 505 to 796 of the family's 1533-position model. The record is from RNAcentral.